AGAGUUUGAUCCUGGCUCAGGAUGAACGCUGGCGGCGUGCCUAACACAUGCAAGUCGAGCGUGAAGUCUUGGAAUGAUACUUCGGUAAAGUGAAGAGAUGGAAAGCGGCGGACGGGUGAGUAACGCGUAGAUAACCUGCCUCAUACACAGGGAUAGCCUAGGGAAACCUGGAUUAAUACCUGAUAAUGCGAGAAUGUCACAUGAAAUUUCGCCAAAGAUUUAUCGGUAUGAGAUGGAUCUGCGUCUGAUUAGUUAGUUGGUGAGGUAACGGCUCACCAAGACAGCGAUCAGUAGCCGACCUGAGAGGGUAAUCGGCCACAUUGGAACUGAGACACGGUCCAAACUCCUACGGGAGGCAGCAGUGGGGAAUAUUGCACAAUGGGCGAAAGCCUGAUGCAGCAACGCCGCGUGAGCGAAGAAGGUCUUCGGAUCGUAAAGCUCUGUCCUUGGGGAAGAAAAAAAGACGGUACCCAAGGAGGAAGCCCCGGCUAACUACGUGCCAGCAGCCGCGGUAAUACGUAGGGGGCAAGCGUUAUCCGGAAUUAUUGGGCGUAAAGAGUACGUAGGUGGUUUUGUAAGCAUGGGGUGAAAGACCGAAGCUCAACUUCGGUUAGCCUUGUGAACUGCAAGACUUGAGUGCAGGAGAGGAAAGUGGAAUUCCUAGUGUAGCGGUGAAAUGCGUAGAUAUUAGGAGGAACACCAGUGGCGAAGGCGACUUUCGGACUGUAACUGACACUGAGGUACGAAAGCGUGGGUAGCAAACAGGAUUAGAUACCCUGGUAGUCCACGCCGUAAACGAUGAGCACUAGGUGUCGGGGUCGCAAGGCUUCGGUGCCGCAGUUAACGCAUUAAGUGCUCCGCCUGGGGAGUACGCACGCAAGUGUAAAACUCAAAGGAAUUGACGGGGACCCGCACAAGCAGCGGAGCAUGUGGUUUAAUUCGAAGCAACGCGAAGAACCUUACCAGAGCUUGACAUCCUUUGACCGGUCCGUAAUGGGACCCUCUCUUCGGAGCAAAGGUGACAGGUGGUGCAUGGUUGUCGUCAGCUCGUGUCGUGAGAUGUUGGGUUAAGUCCCGCAACGAGCGCAACCCUUGUCAUUAGUUGCCAUCAUUCAGUUGGGCACUCUAAUGAGACUGCCGGUGACAAACCGGAGGAAGGUGGGGAUGACGUCAAGUCCUCAUGGCCCUUAUAGGUGGGGCUACACACGUCAUACAAUGGCUGGUACAAAGGGUUGCAACCCGCGAGGGGGAGCUAAUCCCAUAAAGCCAGUCGUAGUCCGGAUCGUAGUCUGCAACUCGACUACGUGAAGUCGGAAUCGCUAGUAAUCGUGGAUCAGAAUGUCACGGUGAAUACGUUCCCGGGUCUUGUACACACCGCCCGUCACACCAUGGGAGCGGGUCUCGCCAGAAGUAGUUAGCCUAACCGCAAGGAGGGCGAUUACCACGGCGGGGUUCGUGACUGGGGUGAAGUCGUAACAAGGUAACC
This 1486-nucleotide ribosomal RNA is filed under the name uncultured bacterium. Its description in RNAcentral is "bacterial SSU rRNA". It matches the Rfam family "Bacterial small subunit ribosomal RNA". The record is from RNAcentral.